This is a transfer RNA of 72 nucleotides. It matches the Rfam family "tRNA". From Rfam's summary of the family: Transfer RNA (tRNA) molecules are approximately 80 nucleotides in length. Their secondary structure includes four short double-helical elements and three loops (D, anti-codon, and T loops). Further hydrogen bonds mediate the characteristic L-shaped molecular structure. tRNAs have two regions of fundamental functional importance: the anti-codon, which is responsible for specific mRNA codon recognition, and the 3' end, to which the tRNAs corresponding amino acid is attached (by aminoacyl-tRNA synthetases). tRNAs cope with the degeneracy of the genetic code in two manners: having more than one tRNA (with a specific anti-codon) for a particular amino acid; and 'wobble' base-pairing, i.e. permitting non-standard base-pairing at the 3rd anti-codon position. The record is from Rfam.
GUAGUCAUAACUCAAUGGUAGAGUAGCCGUUCGUGGUGCGGUUGGUUCUUGGUUCAAGUCCAAGUGUUUACC